AGUGAACGCUGGCGGCGUGCUUAACACAUGCAAGUCGAACGAGAACGGAUUAUAGCUUGCUAUAAUUGUCAGCUAAGUGGCGCACGGGUGCGUAAUGUAUAGGUAAUAUGCCUCUUACUAAGGGAUAACAAAUGGAAACGUUUGCUAAUACCUUAUACUCCUUAUUAACAGAAGUUAAUAAGGGAAAGCUUUAUUUGUAAGAGAUUAGCCUGUAUUGUAUCAGUUAGUUGGUGGGGUAAUGGCUUACCAAGACUAUGACACAUAACUGGUUUGAGCAGAUGAUCAGUCACACUGGAACUGAGACACGGUGCAGACUCCUACGGGAGGCAGCAGUGGGGAAUAUUGCACAAUGGACGAAAGUCUGAUGCAGCAGCGCCGCGUGGAGGAUGGCACAUUUCGGUGCGUAAACUCCCUUUAUAUGAGAAGAUAAUGACGGUAUUAUAUGAAUAAGCACCGGCUAACUCCGUGCCAGCCGCCGCCGUAA
This 484-nucleotide ribosomal RNA is filed under the name uncultured bacterium. RNAcentral describes it as "partial 16S ribosomal RNA". It matches the Rfam family "Bacterial small subunit ribosomal RNA", at positions 29 to 523 of the family's 1533-position model. The record is from RNAcentral.